GCAGCCGGCACCGGGCACCGCUCCCCGCACCCGUGGCGGGGCAGCGCAGCUGGCAUGGUGCUGGCGGCAGCACGCCGCGCCCGCGUUGCACGGAGGAAGCCCGAGCGGAGCCGCGAUGGAGAUGCUGCUGCCGCCCGUUUGUACCAAACUUUGCCAUCAGAAGCCUUUGGAUCUGAAAGAUGAUAACACCGAAAUUCACUGUCCUGUUACAGUAAAUCCAUGGCACAUGAAGAAAGCUUUUAAAAUUAUGAAUGAAUUAAGAAGUCAAAACUUGCUGUGUGAUGUGACGAUAGUAGCUGAAGACAUGGAAAUUGCAGCGCAUAGAGUUGUGUUAGCCGCCUGCAGCCCCUACUUCCAUGCCAUGUUUACAGGUGAGAUGAGUGAAAGCCGAGCAAAAAAAGUUCGAAUAAAGGAAGUCGAUGGCUGGACUCUAAGGAUGCUUAUUGAUUAUAUUUACACUGCUGAAAUUCAAGUUACAGAAGAAAAUGUGCAGGUACUGCUCCCAGCAGCUGGUCUCUUGCAACUGCAGGAUGUGAAAAGGACUUGCUGUGAAUUUUUGGAAUCCCAGCUUCAUCCUAUCAACUGCCUGGGGAUUCGUGCUUUUGCUGACAUGCAUGCAUGCACAGAUCUAUUAAACAAGGCCAACACAUACGCAGAACAGCACUUUUCCGAUGUUGUACUUAGUGAAGAAUACCUCAAUCUUGGUGUAGAGCAGGUGUGCAGUCUUAUAUCCAGUGACAAACUCACAAUUGCCUCAGAGGAGAAGGUAUUUGAAGCAGUGAUAGCCUGGGUAAACCAUGACAAAGAUGUAAGGCAGGAGUUAAUGGCACGUCUGAUGGAGCACGUUCGGCUGCCUUUGCUUUCUCGGGAAUAUUUAGUUCAGAGAGUUGAAGAAGAAAUAUUGGUUAAGAACAGCAGUGCUUGUAAAGAUUACCUCAUUGAAGCUAUGAAGUAUCACUUGCUACCAACUGAGCAACGAGCAUUGAUGAAAAGCACUCGAACAAAAUUGAGAACACCUGCUAGCCUGCCAAAAUUGAUGAUGGUAGUUGGAGGACAGGCACCAAAGGCAAUUCGAAGUGUUGAAUGCUAUGAUUUUAAAGAAGAACGCUGGCAUCAGGUGGCUGAAUUGCCUUCCAGAAGAUGUAGAGCAGGAAUGGUGUACAUGGGAGGCAUGGUUUACGCAGUUGGUGGUUUCAAUGGUUCUUUGAGAGUUCGCACGGUGGAUUCCUAUGAUCCAGUGAAGGACCAGUGGACAAGUGUUGCUAACAUGCAAGACAGGAGAAGCACACUGGGAGCAGCUGUAUUAAAUGGCCUUCUUUAUGCUGUGGGAGGAUUUGAUGGGAGUACAGGUUUAUCAUCAGUCGAAGUUUACAACUUAAAGACUAACGAGUGGUUUCAUGUAGCUCCAAUGAACACAAGAAGAAGUAGUGUUGGCGUAGGUGUUGUUGGAGGUAAACUGUAUGCUGUUGGUGGCUACGAUGGAGCAUCACGUCAGUGCCUUAGUUCAGUAGAAUGCUAUGAUGCUAAUACGAACGAGUGGAGCUAUGUUGCAGAAAUGAGCACUAGACGGAGUGGAGCAGGUUUUUUCAACUCGCAGAAGUUAUUUUAUUUCUCUAGAUGCGUUCCCAAGGACUUUUUCAAGUCAAAUUCCAUGAUAUUAUUUUCUACAUUAAUUUUUCUAGUAGUUUAAAUCACUUUUUUUGCCAAGUACUCAAAGGCGGUUUUUAGCAACACCCUUCAAGUAUCUACUGGUGAUUGCAUUAAUGUGCUACAUAAUUGGAAGAGCUAUUGCUACAAAUAAAUCUGGAUGGACUUCUAGUAUGUUCAGUAGAUGAUUAGUAGUUAUCCCAACUUUUCAUCUUACCUUCCAUUAUUCUUUGUUAACUCUGAACAGUUUUUAUCUGUAUAAUGAUGUCUAAAUUAAGUUUAAAUAAUUUCAAAAGAAAUCUAUCGAAGUAUUAAAUUCAUUACUAAAAUUAAGAUAGUUUGUGUUACUUCCAUUAAAGCCUUACAAAAUCAGCAAGUUGAUCUCUCUUAUUACUAGAAGUCAUGUUUUGAUUGUGUUUUUAAACUAAAACUAUGACCUUAAUGAAGGAAACAUGAUAUAUUGUACCUCAAGAAAACAUAGUUGUCUUGUGAAACUUCUAGUAACUCCGUCUGUGCAUCUUGGAAGUAAAUCUAGAUUUAAAACUGGACAGAGUUGCAGUAAGGGUAUUGUUAAAUACUCCUGUGUAAUAUUGGCAAUUUUUGAGGAAAAUAUUUUUAUAAAAUGGGCAAACUACAAGUAUCAUUAUAAAGACAAAGAGUGUUGGUGUGUUGUGACAAAGCUUCAUUUUGCAGUCUGCCCGCACACACAUUUUGUUUCAGCAUUUGGGAUUUAUUUUUUGAUACUCUGUUUUUGCAAACUGUUAUUGUGCUUGUAGCCUAUUUAUACAGUAGAUAUUUUCAGAAUAUUUUUUAAUGUUGAAUUUCUUCUACAACUCUGAAAUUUUUAGUUCUUUAGAUACACUGACUACUGGGAUCUUUCUGUCCCUCUCCUCUCUCCCCUUGUCCCUGAGUUCAGGACUGUGUUUGCUUACUCAGCUCUAUUCUGCCUUUUAUCUUGUCCUCUGAUUAAAAAAACCAAAAUGGAAAGGAAAAGUAAAUAUAGUCAGUUAUUUCAGAUUCAUAUAAUGGAGUAAAGUAACGAACAUUCUUCUGUGCCACUCUGUAAAAUAUAUGGAAAAUUAUAUUUUUGUGUGGCAGAGGAGUGGGUGGUAAUGUGAAAAUCGUGACCGUUGAUUGGGCUUGGCUGUAGAGGCCAAAUAUCCAAACCCACCAGAACUGUCUCAACUGGUGAUCAGUCUGAUGGUGUUAUGGGUACUAACUAAAAAGAAUUUUGUUCCUGUGUUCAAGUUUUGCAUCUCUGGUCAUCUCAAGGAACUUAAGCUCAUCUCUUCUGUUCCUACUGCUUCAGCUUCAUUCAAAAGCAACUUUUCAGAGGUUAACCCUCAGUUACUCUUCUUUAGUACCAACUGCUUCUCAGUUGAUCAAUACGGGCACAGAUCUGUUUCCAGCAACAUAUUGGGAUGAGGAACUUCAGAUCCAGAUAUAGGCCAUUUGGGAGGGCUGAGAGAUAUAAGACAGGGUCCUGAAAAAUGGGCAGGAAAGAAAUGUAACAAAGAAAGGAGAACUCAGAAGACGGCAACAAGAGGAUACAGACGGAAGCAAGAAAUAAGGUAGGACCUGGAAACUGGGUGUGGGAUUAAGGGAAAAUGAAGCACCAAGGAGGAGUGGAGGACAUUAUUAAAAAUAAGGAACUAUGAAAAAAAAAAGGCAAUGUGGCAGAGGGAAUACUCAACACACUGAAUAGGAAGGUUGGUAACUACACCAAAAGCAUGGGUGGGGGGAUUUAUAUCACAUCACAUAUUUAAACUGAAAAUCAUAGCCCUCCUUCUAGCUCUAUAAUGUUUGAUUCUACAAAAGCUGAGUGUUGUAUUAUCCUGUCUGUGUGAUCAGAGUGGGAGAAAGAAAAGUUGUCAUACUAUACUGUGACAUGACAGCUGGAAAUAAUAGCAAUAAAAGAGGAAUUAAAUGAACUGGAAAGGAUAUGGGGAAAUGUUAGUAGUGAGUAUCACUGAUAAAGUAUUAGAUAGGAUGAUUUAUAAAAGUGUCCUAUCAAAAAGCUAUUUUUCAGAUUUACAUUACCAGUUAACUUCCAUGUUUCCUUUCUCUCUUCCUUUAAUUAUUAAAAUCAAUCUUUUUAAUAAGAAAAUUUAGGCAUUUCAGCAGGAGUUGUUUCUCUCCCCAUAUAGGAAUGGCUCUUAUAUACAAUAUUAGUGAUAUGUUUUCAAAGAUACUUCAGCUGGUUAUUAAGGUCUCAGGAUUCUCUUUUAUUUAUUUUUUUUAAAUGAGUAUUUUUUUUCCUCCAAAGGACUUAACUGAUAGUGUGCAUUCAUAUUUGUUAUUUCCCUUUAAAAAAGAUUUUUAAGCUGUGCCCUUUCCAUGGAAUCCUUUAUGAACUGUAUUUGCAAAUCUGUGUCUCAGCUUUGAGUUUCAUAAUCUCCAAUGUGACAUAUAUUAGAUUUUCCAAUAUAUUUCCAUAGUGCUGCUUUUUGGUUGUCUUUAUGGUCCAUCACACAAAAGUUUUAAUCCAAAACCCCUCUACAUUUCUUAAAUUUAUUAUUUUUGGGUUCUAAUAAUGCAUUAUAAAAUGAGGAAUAAAUAAACAGGCCUUUCUUUCUGCUUUCCCCAUUACCAUCUUUUCAGUAUGUGCAGCCCAAUUAGCAAGUAGAUAGAACUAGCUUUAUUCACUCCUUCGUUCCAAGGCCACAGAUUUAUGAACUUUGGUUGUAAAGUAAAGGAGACCUUAGGAUUAAAGGACAUGCUUUGAUAUCCUUUUGGAUAUUUUGAUAACUGAAGUUUGUUUCAAAGAUGCUUGGUAUUCUCCUCCAAAUCCCAGAGAAGGUAUUCACUCUUAACUGUUUCCUUCUGUUUUGUAUAUAUGUUUACAAGCUAUUCCAACAGUUCAGUGGAAACAUCCCUAUUGUAUAACGUCUAUCCAUUCAGCUUUUAUCCUCUGUACUGCACAGUUUUUACUUUCUAAAAAUUCACUUACACUUUAUCAUCUUGUCAGAUUUCCGUUAUGCUGGCUGAGCACACUGUCUCAUUUACUGUCACUUCUAAUUAGUCCUAAAUUUCAACAAUCCUCAUUUUCCUGCACAUCAUUUUUCGUCCAAAAUUUUCUAAACCUUCUGUUGCAGAACAGCUCUGGUCUUUGUAUGGUGCAAUAUGGUAGAUGGGCAUGCAAGGCACUUUAUCAGUGUCCUGCUAUAUUAUAUUUAUCAGUGUCCUGCUAUAGUUACUGUCUCUUUGCUUUAAUGCAUCCUGACCCAAAUGUUUUCUGAAAGAGUUUCUAGCAUUGACCUAAUGAUGGAUCUAUGUUAGUGGACAUAAUAUUUGUUGUUUCUCUUUUGUAUCAUUCAAACUAUUCUCUAGUUAAUUCUGUGUAUUUUCAUAUGUUUGCAGGUGUUGGCGUGUUAAACAAUUUAUUGUAUGCAGUAGGUGGUCAUGAUGGUCCUUUGGUAAGAAAAAGUGUUGAAGUGUUUGACCCCAUUGCCAGUACGUGGAAGCAGGUGGCAGACAUGAACAUGUGCAGAAGGAAUGCAGGUGUUUGUGCUGUUAAUGGUCUGUUGUAUGUAGUUGGAGGAGAUGAUGGUUCCUGUAAUUUAUCAACAGUGGAGUAUUAUAAUCCAACAACUGAUAAAUGGACGGUUGUGUCAUCCUGUAUGAGUACAGGAAGGAGCUAUGCAGGUGUUACAGUUAUUGACAAACCAUUAUGAUCAGUAAUGGGAUUUUCAACUUGAUUAUGCACUAGGAGCAGUCUUCAGCAAGUGUAUUUGAAGUGACUGAGUAUCUAAGCACUUCUCUACUUGUAGCUGCACCUUGAGUCACAGUGGAAGAUGUGACUGUCUACAAUUACAGAUGACAGAUGAUGAAGAUUACUCUAGGUAGAAGCAAUGUGUAGGAUUAUUCUGCAGCUGAGCAGAAGCUGAUUGAAUUUUUGAAGUCUAGUGGACCAUUUUUUUAAGUGCAAGAUCUUCAAAAAAAAAAAGCCACCUUUCAUAAGGACCGACUUCUGUCAGUCAUGACUGAGAAACGGAUUGUCAGUGAAGAACGGUGUGUAUUCUGGUGAAAGUAAAUUUUUGUCUUAUUUUUUCCAGAGACUAAUAAAUAUAUUUAAGGAAAUGAACUGUCAGUCUUCAUAGUAGGUAUUAAAUCCCACCUCAGUAAUUCAAGCUGGCAUGGGGUAAAUUUGUUUCCUUUUAUAAAACUUUUGUUACCUAACUAUACUAUGUGCAUAUGUUUGUUGCUCUCCAUUGAAACUCUUCAAAACCUGAUUUUACUAUUUAUAAUUUGGCACAGUACUUUGAAUAUGUCAGUACUAUGUUGUAAAACAGAGCUGUAUUUUUUGAUAUGUAACAAUGCUUAACACUACUAAUUCCCACUGAAGGAGAUCAGAGAUGGUAUAACACUUCCUGAACAGGUGUAAUUUCAAGAUCUUUCUAAUAAAAAUGUUGUCUGUACUUAAUUUUUUUCCUGUUCAAUUUUGGUCACAUUUAGAUGUUACUUCUUUUUUACCUUUUUAUCCAAAAGGUGAUUUGGCAUGAGAAUAACUGAAAAUUUAUAGUGAAUGUAUGCAAUUGCGUUGAACUUGCAUGGUACUAAGGCCUAUUUAUGCGUGUAACCUCAGCUUCUAUUAGCCAGUAUCUGAAUAUACUGUAUGUGGCCAUGCUUGUAAAGCAGCUCAUUUUUAUUUGUUCUUGGAUGGCCUCCUUUUAACAUGACCAAAGUUACUGUCAUAUUUGGGACAUUUUCUUCAAAUAAAAGUUUGUACAUUGUUUCCUAAU
This is an RNA transcript of Chiroxiphia lanceolata (lance-tailed manakin), 6389 nucleotides long. It is a transcript of the gene named kelch like family member 2, with no coding region annotated. The record is from RefSeq and is a predicted model, not a curated record. Lineage: Eukaryota; Metazoa; Chordata; Aves; Passeriformes; Pipridae. The transcript has 15 exons.